This 463-nucleotide ribosomal RNA is filed under the name Klebsiella pneumoniae. Its description in RNAcentral is "partial 23S ribosomal RNA". It matches the Rfam family "Bacterial large subunit ribosomal RNA", at positions 1291 to 1756 of the family's 2925-position model. Lineage: Bacteria; Pseudomonadati; Pseudomonadota; Gammaproteobacteria; Enterobacterales; Enterobacteriaceae. The record is from RNAcentral.
CGAAUGCUGACAUAAGUAACGAUAAAGCGGGUGAAAAGCCCGCUCGCCGGAAGACCAAGGGUUCCUGUCCAACGUUAAUCGGGGCAGGGUGAGUCGACCCCUAAGGCGAGGCCGAAAGGCGUAGUCGAUGGGAAACAGGUUAAUAUUCCUGUACUUGGUGUUACUGCGAAGGGGGGACGGAGAAGGCUAUGUUAGCCGGGCGACGGUUGUCCCGGUUUAAGCAUGUAGGCUGGUUAUCCAGGCAAAUCCGGAUAAUCAAGGCUGAGGUGUGAUGACGAGGCACUACGGUGCUGAAGUAACAAAUGCCCUGCUUCCAGGAAAAGCCUCUAAGCAUCAGGUAACAUCAAAUCGUACCCCAAACCGACACAGGUGGUCAGGUAGAGAAUACCAAGGCGCUUGAGAGAACUCGGGUGAAGGAACUAGGCAAAAUGGUGCCGUAACUUCGGGAGAAGGCACGCUGGUG